RNAcentral lists this transfer RNA (66 nucleotides) under Tritodynamia horvathi. Its description in RNAcentral is "tRNA-Asn". Lineage: Eukaryota; Metazoa; Arthropoda; Malacostraca; Decapoda; Varunidae. The record is from RNAcentral.
UUGGUGAAAACCAAAAAGAGGUGUAUCACUGUUAAUGAUAAAAUUGAGUAUAAUUCUCUCACCAAG